RNAcentral lists this ribosomal RNA (454 nucleotides) under uncultured bacterium. RNAcentral describes it as "bacterial SSU rRNA". It matches the Rfam family "Bacterial small subunit ribosomal RNA", at positions 28 to 513 of the family's 1533-position model. The record is from RNAcentral.
GACGAACGCUGGCGGCGUGCCUAAAACAUGCAAGUCGAACGAGGCCUUCGGGUCUAGUGGCUAACGGCGGAGUAAUACAUGAACAACGUGCCCCUAAGUCUGGGACAAACGCAGAAAUGUUAUAAAUACCAGAUGUGGCCGGAGAAGGACAUCCUUUUCCGAUUAAAGGUUUUUCGCUUAGGGAGCGGUUCAUGGCCUAUCAGCUAGGUGGUGGGGUAACGGCCUACCAAGGCGACGACGGGUAGGGGUCUAAGAGGAUGAUCCCCCCGAGUGGAACUGAGACACGGCCCACACACCUACGGGUGGCAGCAGUUGGGAAUCUUGCACAAUGGGGGAAACCCUGAUGCAGCGACGCCGCGUGGAGGAUGACGGAUCUAGGUCUGUAAACUCCUUUUUCAGGGAAAGACUUAGGACGGUACCCUGAGAAUAAGGACCGGCUAACUACGUGCCAGCA